GGAUUUGUAGCUCAGUUGGUAGAGAGUGUGCACUGCUCAAAAUGUAUAGGCAGCGUCCAUGCGUGGGUUCGAAUCCCACCGAGGCUA
This 87-nucleotide transfer RNA is filed under the name Echinostoma caproni. It matches the Rfam family "tRNA". Rfam says of the family: Transfer RNA (tRNA) molecules are approximately 80 nucleotides in length. Their secondary structure includes four short double-helical elements and three loops (D, anti-codon, and T loops). Lineage: Eukaryota; Metazoa; Platyhelminthes; Trematoda; Plagiorchiida; Echinostomatidae. The record is from Rfam by way of RNAcentral.